CAAGUUCCUUUCAUGCAGCCUAGC
Molecule: non-coding RNA, 24 nt
Filed under: Rattus norvegicus (Norway rat)
Lineage: Eukaryota; Metazoa; Chordata; Mammalia; Rodentia; Muridae
Source: RNAcentral